Molecule: non-coding RNA, 148 nt
Filed under: Pan troglodytes (chimpanzee)
Lineage: Eukaryota; Metazoa; Chordata; Mammalia; Primates; Hominidae
Source: Rfam by way of RNAcentral
GCCAGGCAUGGUGGCACAUGCCUGUAAUCCCAGCUACUUGGGAGGCUGAGGCAGGAGAAUCGCUUGAACCCGGGAGGCAGAGGUUGCAGUGAGCCAAGAUUGUACCACUGCACUCUAGCCUGGGCAACACAGCGAGACUCUGUCUCAA